AGAGAAGCUUGCUUCUCUUGAGAGCGGCGGACGGGUGAGUAAUGCCUAGGAAUCUGCCUGGUAGUGGGGGAUAACGUUCGGAAACGGACGCUAAUACCGCAUACGUCCUACGGGAGAAAGCAGGGGACCUUCGGGCCUUGCGCUAUCAGAUGAGCCUAGGUCGGAUUAGCUAGUUGGUGGGGUAAUGGCUCACCAAGGCGACGAUCCGUAACUGGUCUGAGAGGAUGAUCAGUCACACUGGAACUGAGACACGGUCCAGACUCCUACGGGAGGCAGCAGUGGGGAAUAUUGGACAAUGGGCGAAAGCCUGAUCCAGCCAUGCCGCGUGUGUGAAGAAGGUCUUCGGAUUGUAAAGCACUUUAAGUUGGGAGGAAGGGUUGUAGAUUAAUACUCUGCAAUUUUGACGUUACCGACAGAAUAAGCACCGGCUAACUCUGUGCCAGCAGCCGCGGUAAUACAGAGGGUGCAAGCGUUAAUCGGAAUUACUGGGCGUAAAGCGCGCGUANGUGGUUUGUUAAGUUGGAUGUGAAAUCCCCGGGCUCAACCUGGGAACUGCAUUCNAAACUGACUGACUANAGUAUGGUAGANGGUGGUGG
RNAcentral lists this ribosomal RNA (596 nucleotides) under Pseudomonas fluorescens. RNAcentral's name for it is "bacterial SSU rRNA". It matches the Rfam family "Bacterial small subunit ribosomal RNA", at positions 72 to 664 of the family's 1533-position model. Lineage: Bacteria; Pseudomonadati; Pseudomonadota; Gammaproteobacteria; Pseudomonadales; Pseudomonadaceae. The record is from RNAcentral.